This 1149-nucleotide long non-coding RNA is filed under the name Marmota monax (woodchuck). The stretch from base 626 to 695 matches the Rfam family "tRNA". Lineage: Eukaryota; Metazoa; Chordata; Mammalia; Rodentia; Sciuridae. The record is from RNAcentral.
GUUGCAUUUGAUUAUAUUCAGAUCAAGCAGUCAUUUCUUUCUUUCCUUUUUUUUAAUAGAUUUAUUUACUAUCUCUUUACAGGAGAGAAAUUAGUGGAAGCUUAGGAUAACAUAUUAUCAACUUGUUCCACAAACACAAUUUUCCUGUAUUAGAAGAAUUAUAAACUGUGAAGUUAAAGCUGACAAGUUAUCCUCCCCUCUACCCCAUCCACUGGACCCAUCAACAUGACUUCUGGACCGAAAUUUUUAGAGAAAGGAACAAAAUGACUGAUGGGAAUUCUAGAAGUGUGGCUAAUCCUGGGAGAAAACUAAUGCCCUAAGUCAAUUCCAUUAAGCAGAAUUUUCUCACCCUCACCCAUCCUUCCAAAGCACCAGUCCUGGAUUUAGAAAGUCUUAAUAAUGUUUGAUAUGGUAAUUACAAUGCUUAUUAAAAGGGGUGGCUCUCGUGGUAAUUACUCUAUUAAUAAGAUUCAGUACAGGAUUUUUCCAUUUUGUAUAUACUAUAAAUGGAAAAUGCUUGUUUAUCAGCAUUAUUUACUUGUGGGACACACUACCAAUCUAAUUUCCAAAUAAUAUUAGAAUUUCUAAUAAAAAAGCUUAGGGAAAAAAACCCACGAUUUUGGGCUGGGACAUAGCUGAGUGGUAAAACACUUGCUUUGCAUGCAUGAAGCUGUGAGUUCGAUCCCUAUUUCCAAAAAAGAAAAGACAAGUAAAUUAAUAAAUAAAUCCACCACAUCACAUCUCCCCACAAAAACGCCCACCAUUACAUAUCUUUUUACUGCUUUUAUUCAGAAGACCAAAUAGAAAAGUUCACUUAAAAUCAGGUUAGGCCUAUCCUUAUGAAGCUGAUUAUUGUCUAUUUACCACAUUUACUAUUGGUAAAAUGCACCUCUUCAGAUGUAUCCAUAGAGCACCUACUGAAAUUUUUCCCCAUUGCACAUCCCACAGAUACACAAUCAGAAUGGCAACCACCUAUUUAACUGUUCCUACUGCCUCCAGGCUACCUGAUUCUGAAAUUCCUAGACAUUUCUUCAGACUUUUGGACUGAAGUUCCCGGAAGUCUACUUUCAAUUAGAAUCUGUUAGUGUACAAUGUUAAUUGAGGACCAACUAUUUGCAGAACACUACUGGGGCUCUGGUGAGAGAGAAA